GAUGAACGCUGGCGGCGUGCCUAAUACAUGCAAGUCGAGCGAACAGACGCUGAGCUUGCUCCUCUGUCGUUAGCGGCGGACGUGUGAGUAACACGUGGAUCCCCUCCCUAUCAGACUGGUAUCACUUCGGGAAACCGGCGCUUAUCCCGUAUAAUCUCUUGAACCGCAUUGUUCAAUAGUGAAAGACGGUUUUUCUGUCACUUCUCGCUGCAUCCGCGCCGCAUUAGCUAGUUGUUAAGGUAACGGCUUACCAAGGCAACGAUGCGUAACCGACCUGAGAGGGGGAUCGGACACAAUGGAAGGGAGACACGGUCAAGAGGCCUAAGGGAGGCAGCAGUAGGGAAUGUGACGCAAUGGGCGAAAGCAUGACGGAGCAACGCGGAGUGAGUGAUGAAGGUGUUCGGAGCGGAAAAAUGGGUUAUUAGGGAAGAACAAAUGUGGAAGUAACUAUGCACGGAUUGACGGUAACUAAUCAGAAAGCAACGGCUAACUACGUG
RNAcentral lists this ribosomal RNA (497 nucleotides) under uncultured bacterium. RNAcentral's name for it is "partial 16S ribosomal RNA". It matches the Rfam family "Bacterial small subunit ribosomal RNA", at positions 28 to 507 of the family's 1533-position model. The record is from RNAcentral.